This 1260-nucleotide long non-coding RNA is filed under the name Apteryx rowi (Okarito brown kiwi). RNAcentral's name for it is "lncRNA (ENSARWG00000005952.1)". Lineage: Eukaryota; Metazoa; Chordata; Aves; Apterygiformes; Apterygidae. The record is from RNAcentral.
CCCCCCUCUGAGAAGCCGGGAUGAGCUGAGCCCUCGCCGCCCUCUGCCCUUUCCCAGAGAGAGCAGCUGUCCUGCGAGGGGGGUGUGYGUGCGGUUUGAGAACCGGCCUGUUCAUUGAGGCACAAGAGUUGGUGUGUUUACGGACUGGCUUCUGCUCUGAGCUUGUAGGUCUGUUUUGAUAUCCAGUUGCAGGAAAGGGUUCCUCCUUUCCCCCCCCCCCCGGUUCUGUACACAAAGUACUCGCUUACCGCUGGGGACGCGGCCCUAUAGGCAGAGAACAAAUUCCAGCCGGGGUUCUUGAAGCUAAACUGCCUCCUGAGAUGGCUUCUGAAAUUGGAAUACACAGCGUUUUUGGGACGCGCCUUUGUUGGAUUUUAAUAUAUGUCCUGCUAACAACAGCUUUCAACUAUGGAAUCGGGAAGAGUUGUUCUUGCUGUUAUUCUCCAGUGCUGGCAGUUGUGUGUGGUGGGAACCAAGUAAGAGGUGUUACUCGCUGCUGUCUGAGGGUUCAGCCUUACAGUAUCUAUCCUGGCAGUAUUAUGGAGGGGCAGGUCAGUGGUGCAGGGUUGAAGGUCAUCCUCUGCAUGUCCAAAAACGCAACGAAGAAGGCUUUUCAGCAGGUAACCUACGGUGCGUUGCUUCUGCCGUGGGGCUUUGAGUACUUGGUGGACCUCUUGGUUCAUGCUGCAGUGAAAUUAUUUGUGAUCAAGUUGUCAUUAUGAUACUAAAGGCUUUUAUUAAAGGAGAGUUACUCCAUGUAGAAAAAUACAGGUCAGCUGUAUCAGGUGGCUUUGCGAGCUUGKAGGUUUCUUUUGUGCUGGGUUUUGAGGGGAAAAAAAAUCAUUGUACUUCGUUUGUCCAUAUUAAUUCCAAGGUAUUCAGAUGGAGACAAGAGGUUAUUUCAGUUUCCCUUAGUGAAUAUUAAUAGCAGUAGAAGCCUUUCACAGGGAAACAAAACAGGCCAGGCAUCAGUAACUCUCCCCUGCUGCAGCUUAGUAAUUAAAGUGUAUCGAGUGUGAGACCUUUUGCUGUAGUAUGCAGUAACUCUUUCUUUAAUGGGUGUUCUGCAGUUCCCUGAAAAACUGAGUUGAAUCUCAACAUCAAUUAUAAAACAUAUUGUUUACUACAUAAUGUAUUUCAUUGUUACAAAAACCUUUCAUUCUCAGUUUUGAAAGAAACAGUAUUUUGCAUUUUUGUAUGCAAACCAUACUUUUUUUUAAAAAAAGAUAAUAAUUGCAAUAGCUUUCACUUAAAUGAAAA